Molecule: long non-coding RNA, 1003 nt
Organism: Ahaetulla prasina
Lineage: Eukaryota; Metazoa; Chordata; Lepidosauria; Squamata; Colubridae
Exons: 5
Source: RefSeq, a predicted model, not a curated record
UAGAGAUCAAGGCGGGGUUUGUGGAGCGCGAAGUGGCUCCACCUCGCAGUGGUGGUUUGUUUGUUUUUACUAGCGGUUCUCCUUGGGAAAAAAUGCUCCGUUGUAAACAGGCUAAGAAAAGAUGUUCACAAACUGGAGCAUGUUCAAAAGAAAUCUGGUGAAUAAAAAGGGGCUCCAAAGAGAACAUAUAUACAGAAAAGGGAUAUCAUUAGGCUGAAGAAACAGAAGACCAGUGGACAAAUUGUCUUGAGUAUCUGAAGGGUUCUCAUGUAGAAGAUGGGUCAGAAUUGAUGCAGUAGAAUAUUGUUAUUGCUAUUAGGGGAUGUUUUCAUGGAGGAUCCUGCACUGGGCAGCAAGUUGAACUAGAUGAUUUUCAAGGUAUAGAAUGUCAUGAAGCAAGAAAGACACACAAAGUGGAGAAGCUGCGCGAUUUAAGCUUCCAUUUUGGGACCGAUCAAAUUACCAGAGAAUUUGGAGUUCAGAUGGCAAUAGGAAUGAGUCCCCCAGAACCAUCAGAACCUGAUGCGAAUUCUGCACCUCUGCAUAAGUGUUUACAAUCUCUGCAUGCCUUUGUGAAGAACACAGCAAUUACUGACAGCACCAGAUUAUAUGUAAUCUAUUCCGGAUGCUUUGAUUCCUACCUAUAGAGAUUUUAUGAGUAGAUAUAAUAGUACAUAUCAUGCCUAAACAAGUUGCUUAAGAAAACCGCAGCAAUAUUAUGUUUGACAGCUUUAAACUAUAAACAUCAAACAAAGUUUUGGAUAGGCCAACAACUCUCUGACAUUGUAUUGUUUGUUCCUUAUAUCAACUGUGAAAAGUGCACAGAAACAAAUUAAAAUCCUGCCCUGGCUGGAAGAUGUGUAUAGUAUAUAGACUCCUGAGAAGUUUUUGGGGGAAACCCUAGGGAUCCUAGGACCACACUUUAAGAAACACUCCUGCAAUUCAUGUUACAUGGGGUUGCCUUUGAAAAUGACCCAACAGUGUCCAAGAUAUUGGGUUAAGA